Molecule: ribosomal RNA, 253 nt
Filed under: uncultured bacterium
Lineage: Bacteria
Description: partial 16S ribosomal RNA
Rfam family: Bacterial small subunit ribosomal RNA
Source: RNAcentral
UACAGAGGGUGCAAGCGUUAAUCGGAAUUACUGGGCGUAAAGGGCGCGUAGGUGGUUGUGUGUGUGAGAUGUGAAAUCCCUGGGCUCAACCUGGGAAUGGCAUUUCAAACUGCAUAGCUAGAGUAUAUGAGAGGGUAGUGGAAUUUCCGGUGUAGCGGUGAAAUGCGUAGAUAUCGGAAGGAACACCAGUGGCGAAGGCGGCUACCUGGCAUAAUACUGACACUGAGGCGCGAAAGCGUGGGGAGCAAACAGG